UACGAAGGGGGCUAGCGUUGUUCGGAAUUACUGGGCGUAAAGCGUAUGCAGGCGGAUCUUUAAGUCGGGGGUGAAAUCCCGAGGCUCAACCUCGGAACUGCCUUCGAUACUGAAGAUCUUGAGUCCGGGAGAGGUGAGUGGAAGUGCGAGUGUAGAGGUGGAAUGCGUAGAGAUGCGCAAGAACACCAGUGGCGAAGGCGGCUCACUGGCCCGGUACUGACGCGGAGAUACGAAAGCGUGGGGAGCAAACAGG
RNAcentral lists this ribosomal RNA (253 nucleotides) under uncultured bacterium. Its description in RNAcentral is "partial 16S ribosomal RNA". It matches the Rfam family "Bacterial small subunit ribosomal RNA", at positions 524 to 776 of the family's 1533-position model. The record is from RNAcentral.